RNAcentral lists this ribosomal RNA (360 nucleotides) under uncultured bacterium. RNAcentral's name for it is "bacterial SSU rRNA". It matches the Rfam family "Bacterial small subunit ribosomal RNA", at positions 8 to 334 of the family's 1533-position model. The record is from RNAcentral.
AGGGUUUGAUCAUGGCUCAGGACGAACGCUGGCGGCAUGCCUAACACAUGCAAGUCGAACGGAGCUGUUAUCGCAGAAGCCUUCGGGCCGAAGGGAUAAGAGCUUAGUGGCGGACGGGUGAGUAACGCGUGGGUAACGUACCUUUUAGUGGGGAACAACAGUGAGAAAUUACUGCUAAUACCGCAUGAGAUUAGCCUAUCGCAUGAUAGGGUAAAGAAAGGCGGCCUCUCAAAGAAGCUGCCGCUAAAAGAUCGACCCGCGUCUGAUUAGCUAGUUGGUGAGAUAAAAGCCCACCAAGGCGACGAUCAGUAGCCGGCCUGAGAGGGUGAACGGCCACAUUGGGACUGAGACACGGCCCAA